GUGAACGCUGGCGGUAGGCCUAACACAUGCAAGUCGAACGGCAGCACAGUAAGAGCUUGCUCUUACGGGUGGCGAGUGGCGGACGGGUGAGGAAUACAUCGGAAUCUACUUUUUCGUGGGGGAUAACGUAGGGAAACUUACGCUAAUACCGCAUACGACCUACGGGUGAAAGCAGGGGAUCUUCGGACCUUGCGCGAUUGAAUGAGCCGAUGUCGGAUUAGCUAGUUGGCGGGGUAAAGGCCCACCAAGGCGACGAUCCGUAGCUGGUCUGAGAGGAUGAUCAGCCACACUGGAACUGAGACACGGUCCAGACUCCUACGGGAGGCAGCAGUGGGGAAUAUUGGACAAUGGGCGCAGCCUGAUCCAGCCAUACCGCGUGGGUGAAGAAGGCCUUCGGGUUGUAAAGCCCUUUUGUUGGGAAAGAAAAGCAGCAGGUUAAUACCCCGCUGUUCUGACGGUACCCAAAGAAUAAGCACCGGCUAACUUCGUG
Molecule: ribosomal RNA, 490 nt
Filed under: uncultured bacterium
Lineage: Bacteria
Description: partial 16S ribosomal RNA
Rfam family: Bacterial small subunit ribosomal RNA
Source: RNAcentral